This 600-nucleotide ribosomal RNA is filed under the name uncultured ciliate. Its description in RNAcentral is "SSU rRNA". It matches the Rfam family "Eukaryotic small subunit ribosomal RNA", at positions 490 to 1103 of the family's 1831-position model. Lineage: Eukaryota; Ciliophora. The record is from RNAcentral.
GCUCGUUCGAGUCCGCGCAUCGGAAUGAGGACAAUUUACACCCCUUCUCGAGGAUCCAUUGGAGGGCAAGUCUGGUGCCAGCAGCCGCGGUAAUUCCAGCUCCAAUAGCGUAUAUUAAAGUUGUUGCAGUUAAAAAGCUCGUAGUUGGAUUUCUGGCAGGGGGCAACAGCCCGCUUGCAGCGUGUGCUUGCCGUCCCCUACCAUCCUUCUGUUAACGCGCCAGGACAUUCACUUGUCGGGCGCGGGCUCAGAUAAUUUACCUUGAGAAAAUUAGAGUGUUUCAGGCAGGCUGACGCCGGGAUACAUUAGCAUGGAAUAAUGGAAUAGGACUUUCGCCUCUUCUGUUGGUCUGAGGGGUGAUCGUAAUGAUUAAUAGGGAUAGUUGGGGGCAUUAGUACUUAACUGUCAGAGGUGAAAUUCUCGGAUUUGUUAAAGACUAACUUAUGCGAAAGCAUUUGCCAAGGAUGUUUUCAUUAAUCAAGAACGAAAGUUAGGGGAUCAAAGACGAUCAGAUGCCGUCCUAGUCUUAACCAUAAACUAUGCCGACUCGGGAUCGGGGGCGAGAGUUAUCCGCCUUCGGCACCGUAUGAGAAAUCAAAG